Molecule: ribosomal RNA, 497 nt
Filed under: uncultured bacterium
Lineage: Bacteria
Description: partial 16S ribosomal RNA
Rfam family: Bacterial small subunit ribosomal RNA
Source: RNAcentral
GAUGAACGCUGACGGCGUGCCUAAUACAUGCAAGUCGAGCGAACGGACGAGAAGCUUGCUUCUCUGAUGUUAGCGGCGGAUGGGUGAGUAACACGUGGAUAACCUACCUAUAAGACUGGGAUAACUUCGGGAAACCGGAGCUAAUACCGGAUAAUAUUUUGAACCGCAUGGUUCAAAAGUGAAAGACGGUCUUGCUGUCACUUAUAGAUGGAUCCGCGCUGCAUUAGCUAGUUGGUAAGGUAACGGCUUACCAAGGCAACGAUGCAUAGCCGACCUGAGAGGGUGAUCGGCCACACUGGAACUGAGACACGGUCCAGACUCCUACGGGAGGCAGCAGUAGGGAAUCUUCCGCAAUGGGCGAAAGCCUGACGGAGCAACGCCGCGUGAGUGAUGAAGGUCUUCGGAUCGUAAAACUCUGUUAUUAGGGAAGAACAUAUGUGUAAGUAACUGUGCACAUCUUGACGGUACCUAAUCAGAAAGCCACGGCUAACUACGUG